RNAcentral lists this ribosomal RNA (359 nucleotides) under uncultured bacterium. Its description in RNAcentral is "bacterial SSU rRNA". It matches the Rfam family "Bacterial small subunit ribosomal RNA", at positions 28 to 372 of the family's 1533-position model. The record is from RNAcentral.
GAUGAACGCUGGCGGCGUGCCUAAUACAUGCAAGUCGAACGAGGUGCUUUUGUAGCAAUACGAAAGUAUCCUAGUGGCGAACGGGUGAGUAACGCGUUGGUGACCUACCCCAAAGUGUGGGAUAACAGUUCGAAAGAACUGCUAAUACCGCAUGUGGUUAUCGGGUUUAGAAACUGAUAACUAAAGGAGCAAUUCGCUUUGGGAGGGACCUGCGUCCCAUCAGCUAGUUGGUGAGGUAAUGGCUCACCAAGGCUACGACGGGUAGGGGACCUGAGAGGGUGACCCCCCACCAAUAGGAACGUAGAACAACGGUCCGAUACACCUACCGGGUUGGGCAGCAGUAGGGAAGUAAUUGUCAC